CAGCCGCCACGGUAAUACGAAGGGGGCUAGCGUUGUUCGGAUUUACUGGGCGUAAAGCGCACGUAGGCGGAUCGAUCAGUCAGGGGUGAAAUCCCAGAGCUCAACUCUGGAACUGCCUUUGAUACUGUCGAUCUGGAGUAUGGAAGAGGUGAGUGGAAUUCCGAGUGUAGAGGUGAAAUUCGUAGAUAUUAGGAAGAACACCAGUGGCGAAGGCGGCUCACUGGUCCGGUACUGACGCUGAGGUGCGAAAGCGUGGGGAGCAAACAGGAUUAGAUACCCCCGUAGUCCCUGUCUCUUAUAC
This 301-nucleotide ribosomal RNA is filed under the name uncultured bacterium. RNAcentral describes it as "partial 16S ribosomal RNA". It matches the Rfam family "Bacterial small subunit ribosomal RNA", at positions 509 to 807 of the family's 1533-position model. The record is from RNAcentral.